GAACGCUGGCGGCGUGCCUAACACAUGCAAGUCGAACGGAACUUUUUUAAUUGACUUCUUCGGAAUGAUUUUGAUUAAGUUUAGUGGCGGACGGGUGAGUAACGCGUGAGUAACCUGCCUCUAAGAGGGGAAUAACAUUCUGAAAAGAAUGCUAAUACCGCAUAAUAUAUAUUUAUCGCAUGGUAGAUAUAUCAAAGAUUUACCGCUUAGAGAUGGACUCGCGUCCGAUUAGUUAGUUGGUGAGGUAACGGCUCACCAAGACCGCGAUCGGUAGCCGGACUGAGAGGUUGAACGGCCACAUUGGGACUGAGACACGGCCCAGACUCCUACGGGAGGCAGCAGUGGGGGAUAUUGCGCAAUGGGGGAAACCCUGACGCAGCAACGCCGCGUGAAGGAUGAAGGUCUUCGGAUUGUAAACUUCUUUUAUUAAGGACGAAGAAAGUGACGGUACUUAAUGAAUAAGCUCCGGCUAACUACGUGCCAGCAGCCGCGGUAAUACGUAGGGAGCAAGCGUUGUCCGGAUUUACUGGGUGUAAAGGGUGCGUAGGCGGCUUUGCAAGUCAGAUGUGAAAUCUAUGGGCUCAACCCAUAGCCUGCAUUUGAAACUGCAGAGCUUGAGUGAAGUAGAGGCAGGCGGAAUUCCCCGUGUAGCGGUGAAAUGCGUAGAGAUGGGGAGGAACACCAGUGGCGAAGGCGGCCUGCUGGGCUUUAACUGACGCUGAGGCACGAAAGCGUGGGUAGCAAACAGGAUUAGAUACCCUGGUAGUCCACGCUGUAAACGAUGAUUACUAGGUGUGGGGGGUCUGACCCCUUCCGUGCCGGAGUUAACACAAUAAGUAAUCCACCUGGGGAGUACGGCCGCAAGGUUGCAAC
This 873-nucleotide ribosomal RNA is filed under the name uncultured Bacillota bacterium. RNAcentral describes it as "bacterial SSU rRNA". It matches the Rfam family "Bacterial small subunit ribosomal RNA", at positions 31 to 900 of the family's 1533-position model. The record is from RNAcentral. Lineage: Bacteria; Bacillati; Bacillota.